GGGUAACCGGCGAACGGGUGCGUAACACGUGAGCAAGCUUCCGAUUUGUGGGGGAUAGCCGGCCUAACGGCCGGGUAAUACCGCAUACGUUCACUAGGCGGCAUCGUCUGGUGAGGAAACCUCCGGGGCAAAUUGAGGCGCUCGCGGCCUAUCAGCUAGUUGGCGGGGUAACGGCCCACCAAGGCGACGACGGGUAGCUGGGCUGAGAGGAUGGCCAGCCACAUUGGGACUGCGACACGGCCCAGACUCCUACGGGAGGCAGCAGUGGGGAAUAUUGCGCAAUGGACGGAAGUCUGACGCAGCGACGCCGCGUGUGGGAUGACGCCUUUCGGGGUGUAAACCACUGUUGCCCGGGACGAAACUCCUUUUUCGAAAGGACUGACGGUACCGGGUGAGGAAGCACCGGCUAACUCUGUGCCAGCAGCCGCGGUAAUACAGAGGGUGCGAGCGUUGUCCGGAAUCACUGGGCGUAAAGGGUGCGUAGGUGGCUUGGUAAGCGUGUGGUGAAAGUCCGGGGCUCAACCCCGGAUCUGCCGUGCGAACUGCCGAGCUCGAGCAUUGUAGAGGCAGGUGGAAUUCCGGGUGUAGCGGUGGAAUGCGUAGAGAUCCGGAAGAACACCAGUGGCGAAGGCGGCCUGCUGGGCAAUUGCUGACACUGAGGCACGACAGCGUGGGGAGCAAACAGGAUUAGAUACCCUGGUAGUCCACGCCGUAAACGAUGGGUACUAGGUGUCUGGGGGAGCGACCCCCU
RNAcentral lists this ribosomal RNA (751 nucleotides) under uncultured bacterium. Its description in RNAcentral is "bacterial SSU rRNA". It matches the Rfam family "Bacterial small subunit ribosomal RNA", at positions 89 to 841 of the family's 1533-position model. The record is from RNAcentral.